AUGAGGGUCUGUCAUUUGGACUUUGUGACCUUGUUCUCUCAUCAUUUCUACCCCUGUAUUGUUUUCAGUUACCCCGUUAAGCUGAGGAGCCGCCACCGUGGCUGGGGACGCAGCCUCCCGGUCAGUGCGGACCGAGUUGAGGGGCACCAAGGUGUCUACGGUGCCCUCUGCCACUGCCACCAGGCCGAGUUCACCAGCAGUGCAGGCUGACAGCAAAUCCAGGGGGCCGUGGCGUCUUGUGUCCUCCGGGGGCCUUGCCUGUUAGGGGAAGUGGGUAGUGAGUUAGUCUGUUUGUGUUUUUGUAUGUUGACCCUGAGGAGAAGGGGAGGAGGAGAGACACGAGUGGCACCGUGCGGGGGGACCGAUGAUGAAAGUCUCUCCCUUAUGGGCUGUUGGGUCCCCCCUCUGCCAGGGAGGGGCCCCGGUGCCCGACCUCGAGACUGAGGUACCCCAUUCAGCACAACACUACUGUAGGUUGGUGUUUUGUUUGUGUUGUGUGUGCCCUGUACUGGGCUCAACCUGUAGUCCCGUGUGGGUGUGUGUGGUUGAUUGAUGUUUAGGCUGUGUGUGGUGUUUUCAACUUGUGUGUGUGUUUCUGUCUUUUUUAAUCUGUUUUUUCUGUUAGUAGGCUGGGGGCGCCCACCAGUGGAGAGUUCAGGGAAGUCCAGGGCUCCUGCUGCGGCAGUGUGUCUCUCCUCCCUGUGCUGUAUUAAGUUCUCUGUAACACAUUAAAUCCACAGGCUGUGAAAGAGAAUGGUUAGUUCGGGGAAAGCAAGGAUGAGAAGGGUUAGAGUCAGUGAAAUGAAGGGAGAAAUUGCCAAUAUCUGAUUGACAAGGGCAUGAAGAGGGAGAGGGGGUGCCUGGAACAGAACCUGUAUCCAAAAGGUAACCUUCAGCUUGUUUGAUUGUGUCUGGGUCUAGCCUAUCCCCAUAGCGUCUGUGGGCCCAGUUAGCAGCUACUUUUAGUGCUAAUUGGUCGCCUGGUGUAGUUAGCAGUGUGGCUAGUGUGUCUGUGUAGUGUUUAUGUAGGAUAUGCAUGUUCUCCUUCAUCCAAUUGUUUGUGUUUUGUUUUACUGACUGUGUUGUUUCUAUAGAUGGUGAGGCUGGUUUUAUAAAAAGAGCCAGUUUGGUCACCUGCCUCAUCGUUCCCUGGGGGAAGUUUCCAGUUUGGAUUGCUUCCCUAACAAUAUUCAGGUGAUGUAUGAUUUGUAAUAAUUUGAAAUGAUGUUUGGCUAGUGCUCUGGUGUUAAUAUCCAGCGCCUGUCUGGUGGGUGAACUG
This 1279-nucleotide long non-coding RNA is filed under the name Dicentrarchus labrax (European seabass). RNAcentral describes it as "lncRNA (ENSDLAG00005030277.1)". Lineage: Eukaryota; Metazoa; Chordata; Actinopteri; Moronidae. The record is from RNAcentral.